RNAcentral lists this transfer RNA (76 nucleotides) under Candidatus Hodgkinia cicadicola. Its description in RNAcentral is "tRNA-Gln". It matches the Rfam family "tRNA". Rfam says of the family: Transfer RNA (tRNA) molecules are approximately 80 nucleotides in length. The record is from RNAcentral. Lineage: Bacteria; Pseudomonadati; Pseudomonadota; Alphaproteobacteria; Hyphomicrobiales.
UUGGAAUAUAGCCAAGUAGGUUUAAGGCAUCGGUUUUUGGUAUCGAUAUCCCUGGUUCAAUUCCAAGUAUUCCAGU